UACGGAGGGGGCUAGCGUUAUUCGGAAUUACUGGGCGUAAAGCGCACGUAGGCGGCUUUGUAAGUUAGAGGUGAAAGCCUGGAGCUCAACUCCAGAAUUGCCUUUAAGACUGCAUGGCUUGAAUCCAGGAGAGGUGAGUGGAAUUCCGAGUGUAGAGGUGAAAUUCGUAGAUAUUCGGAAGAACACCAGUGGCGAAGGCGGCUCACUGGACCGGUAUUGACGCUGAGGUGCGAAAGCGUGGGGAGCAAACAGG
RNAcentral lists this ribosomal RNA (253 nucleotides) under uncultured bacterium. RNAcentral describes it as "partial 16S ribosomal RNA". It matches the Rfam family "Bacterial small subunit ribosomal RNA", at positions 524 to 776 of the family's 1533-position model. The record is from RNAcentral.